Molecule: ribosomal RNA, 911 nt
Filed under: uncultured bacterium
Lineage: Bacteria
Description: bacterial SSU rRNA
Rfam family: Bacterial small subunit ribosomal RNA
Source: RNAcentral
GAUGAACGCUAGCGGCAGGCUUAACACAUGCAAGUCGAGGGGCAUCGGGUGAUGUUUAGCGUUAAACGCAUUAUGCCGGCGACCGGCGAACGGGUGCGUAACGCGUGAGAAACAUACCUAUUACAGGAGGAUAAACUUUGGAAACGAGGCCUAAUACUCCAUGUUAUUAGUAUAUGGCAUCAUAUAUUACUAAAAGCGCAUAAGCGGUAAUAGAUUGUCUCGCGUGACAUUAGCUAGAUGGAAAGGUAACGGCUUCCCAUGGCAACGAUGUCUAGGGGUUCUGAGAGGAAGAUCCCCCACACUGGUACUGAGACACGGACCAGACUCCUACGGGAGGCAGCAGUGAGGAAUAUUGGACAAUGGAUGGAAAUCUGAUCCAGCCAUGCCGCGUGCAGGACACAGCCCUAUGGGUUUUCAACUGCUUUUGUAUUGGAGCAAUAAACUGUACGAGUACAGAGAUGAGCGUACAAUACGAAUCAGCAUCGGCUAACUCCGUGCCAGCAGCCGCGGUAAUACGGAGGAUGCAAGCGUUAUCCGGAUUUAUUGGGUUUAAAGGGUGCGUAGGCUGUUUAUUAAGUCAGUGGUGAAAUGCUAAUGCUUAACAUUGGAACUGCCAUUGAAACUGAUAAGCUAGAAUUUGGAUGCUGUUAGCGGAAUGUGUAAUGUAGCGGUGAAAUGCAUAGAUAUUACCCAGAACGUCGAUUGCGAAGGCAGCUAACAAAACCAUAAUUGACGCUGAUGCACGAAAGUGUGGGGAUCAAACAGGAUUAGAUACCCUGGUAGUCCACACUGUAACCGAUGAUAACUAUCUGUUGGCGAUAUACAGUCAGUGGACCAGCGAAAGCGAUAAGUUAUCCACCUGGGGAGUACGACCGCAAGGUUGAAACUCAAAGGAAUUGACGGGGGCCCGC